UCUGGUGAUUAUGGCUUGAAGGUAACACCCG
Molecule: ribosomal RNA, 31 nt
Filed under: Clostridium botulinum
Lineage: Bacteria; Bacillati; Bacillota; Clostridia; Eubacteriales; Clostridiaceae
Source: RNAcentral